This 376-nucleotide ribosomal RNA is filed under the name uncultured organism. RNAcentral's name for it is "partial 16S ribosomal RNA". It matches the Rfam family "Bacterial small subunit ribosomal RNA", at positions 527 to 897 of the family's 1533-position model. The record is from RNAcentral.
GUAGGUGGCAAGCGUUGUCCGGGAAUUAUUGGGGCGUAAAGCGCGCGCAGGCGGUUCUUUAAGUCUGAUGUGAAAGCCCACGGGCUCAACCGUGGAGGGUCAUUGGAAACUGGAGAACUUGAGUACAGAAGAGGAACGCGGAAUUCCACGUGUAGCGGUGAAAUGCGUAGAGAUGUGGAGGAACACCAGUGGCGAAGGCGGCUUUCUGGUCUGUAACUGACGCUGAGGCGCGAAAGCGUGGGGAGCAAACAGGAUUAGAUACCCUGGUAGUCCACGCCGUAAACGAUGAGUGCUAAGUGUUAGGGGGUUUCCGCCCCUUAGUGCUGCAGCUAACGCAUUAAGCACUCCGCCUGGGGAGUACGGCCGCAAAGGCUGA